Long non-coding RNA from Medicago truncatula (barrel medic), 764 nucleotides. RefSeq lists it as uncharacterized. NCBI's taxonomy places the organism in Eukaryota, Viridiplantae, Streptophyta, Magnoliopsida, Fabales, Fabaceae. The record is from RefSeq and is a predicted model, not a curated record. The transcript has 3 exons.
AAGAGACUGCAGGAAAGAACCAUAACCAAACAAGCACGCCUAUUUUAUGCAGCAGGAAUCAUCACAAACAUAUGAAAAAUAUAAAAAUUAAAUUUUUGUCUUAAAAUUUGUACUUGGUUAGGAACCAUAACCUCCUUCGUAUGUUUCCAUGUGGAUACUUAUUGUUGUGUAGGUAGAUGAAAAGAUGCAAACACUUGAAGAGGAGAUGAAAUUUUAAGCUACAGGGUUAUUAAAUUUCAUUUUUACAUUCCAUAGAUAUUUUAUUUACGUUAUUAUGAGGUAGGCGAUAUAUGGAUUGGCUAGCAUAUAAGUUACUUGAGUCAAUUUCGUACACUAUGAAAUAACAAUAGAAAAAUAUGGCUAAAGUCACUAAGUUUGGUUAUAUUAUAAUCCACUUUCUUUCACUAUUUUUCCUUGCAAUGAACGUUGCAGGAGGUCGUGAAUGUCAUGCGAACUCUCAUUGUGUAGGUAAAAUUACCUGUGUGCUUCCUCAGAAACCGGAAUGUUGGAAUUAUGCAUGUGUUUGUUAUGAUUCAAAUAAAUAUCGUUGAUGAUAAAGUGUUCCAUGUGUAGGAAUUACACAUGUGUUUGUCAUAAUUCAAAUAAUUAUGAAUGUUCUAUGACAUGUCAUUUAACUAAUGAGUUGGCAUUCAAUAAUUGAAUUUGUUUUGUAUUUAUUUCCCUUUAAUAAUUUCACAGAUUUUGUGGUCUUUGAUGAUGGUAAUUUAAAAAACAUUGUGCAGUAAAUAAUAUUAUUAAGAUUA